Culex quinquefasciatus (southern house mosquito) is the source of this 1341-nucleotide long non-coding RNA. RefSeq lists it as uncharacterized. Lineage: Eukaryota; Metazoa; Arthropoda; Insecta; Diptera; Culicidae. The transcript is spliced from 3 exons. The record is from RefSeq and is a predicted model, not a curated record.
GCAGAUGGCCACGGACAAGAUCAAGGUUUUUGGUUCGAUCAUCAAAAUGGACUCGAUGGCGAGAAUUGUCGAGCUGAAGGUCGUCGAGAAGGAGAAAAUGAAGAAAAAGGUGACAAACCGGACCUGGUUCGGCUUGGUCGUUGCGAUCUGAUCGAGCUGGUCAUAAUCGGCGAGGACACGCUGUUGUGCUUCAGCGGAGUUCCCCUCGGAGAGGCCUGUACCGUCGUCAUCCGUUGGGCAACCCAGCUGAUCAUCGACGAAUCGGAUCGUUCGCUGCACGACACCCUUUGUUUGCUGCCCGCGGAAACGUCCGGUAAGGAAUCGAUGGCCAUAGAAGCGUUCGGUCGAGCUCUGCUCUAGCUGCCGACGACGAUCGCCGACAACGAAGAGUACGAUACCGUUUGUAACGCUUAGCUGAACGAAGAGUGCACGUCUAAUCUACAUGCCCAUUGAAAGACGCUGCAGCGAUGGCAGGACCUGGACAUCCUGGACAGCCGGAGCUUGAACAAGUGAAUGUCAGCGCAAUUAUCCUUCACCGGCUACAUGGUCUCCAGUUGUGCGUGUAAUUUAGAUUUCUCCCGACACGAGCAACCUCGUGCCAGCGAUGGUGACGGCAAAGUCUGCAUCUUUUUCACGGCCCGUACGAGCAGCUGAGUGCCUACACUAACAGUAACGCCGUGCGCAGAGUUUCGAGUUUCUUCUGCUCCUCGCGGAUACAAAUAGUCACGCGGUUGCUUUCAAUGGAGGUCUCUGUUGAAUCUGUACCACAGCGGGGACACCACCAAUAGUAACGGUUGGCCGGCACCGGAGUUCUAAAGUCUGCAAACUGAUACUUCGGUUCCGUCUGCGCCAGAUCAAUAACCACCAUCCUCAAGCUUAACAUGGCCACUAAGAAUCGGCGUAUCACCGAUCCGUACUUCACUUUCCUCUGGUUCAAGUCGAUUUGCAACUUGGUCUACAAGCGUGGCUACGUCAAGCAUCGACAAUGAUACAUCACGAUCACAGACCAUCGAUCACAGAUCGAGUGCUGGACGCACUCAACCAGCUUCCAGUACUCCGAGAAAGUUCAACGGCUUAAGUGCUUCGUUCAGCAAGCUGGACGUUCCCAAGCACUGGUCUCGCGCAUCGAAAUUACUUUUUACCACCGGUUGCAUCAAGCACAAGAAAAUGCCCCACCCGCGGCAUGUGCGGAAAACUUUUCUGGCUGCCGUAGAACAAACUUCCGUUGACGAUUUCACCUGAAUCCGCCGCUUCUGAUCAACUACGGCCCCGAUCUCGCCCGUUUUCUCAUCGAAUAAAAUCAGUGAUAAAAUUAUAAAAAAACGUUUUGUUUAGUUUAGA